AUGAACAAAAAUCUGUUCACCUCAUUUAUCGCCCCAACAAUCCUAGGGUUACCCACAGCAGCACUAAUCAUCUUGUUCCCCUCCACACUCCUUCCAACCUCCAACUAUCUAGUCAAUAACUGAUUAAUUUCUAUUCAACAAUGACUAGUUCAACUUACCCUAAAACAAAUAAUUAUACGUAACAUUAAAGGACAAGCCCGAUCCCUUAUACUGAUAUCUCUAAUUCUCUUUAUUGCCUUAACCAAUCUCCUUGGACUCCUACCAGACUCAUUUACACCAACUACCCAACCAUCAAUAAAUCUAGCUACAGCAAUCCCCUUAUGAGCAGGCACAGUAAUCACGGGCUUCCGCUUUAAAACUAAAAACUCCUUAGCUCACUUCCUACCACAAGGCACACGCAUACCACUUAUUCCUAUACCAGUAUUCACCGAAACCAUUAGUCUAUUUAUUCAACCAACAGCACUAGCUGUACGUCUAACAGCCAACAUUACAGCCAGUCACUUACUCAUGCGCUUAAUUGGAGGAGCCACACUAGUAUUAUCAACUACUAACCUUCCCACAGCUUCAAUCACCUUUAUUAUUCUAAUUCUAUUAACCAUGCUCCAAUCUGCUGUGGCCCUUAUCCAAGCUUAUGUCUUUACGCUUUUAGUAAGCCUUUAUUUCUAUGACAAUACA
This 675-nucleotide long non-coding RNA is filed under the name Homo sapiens (human). Its description in RNAcentral is "non-protein coding lnc-RAB6D-11:1". Lineage: Eukaryota; Metazoa; Chordata; Mammalia; Primates; Hominidae. The record is from RNAcentral.